RNAcentral lists this ribosomal RNA (484 nucleotides) under uncultured bacterium. RNAcentral's name for it is "partial 16S ribosomal RNA". It matches the Rfam family "Bacterial small subunit ribosomal RNA", at positions 30 to 507 of the family's 1533-position model. The record is from RNAcentral.
AUUGAACGCUGGCGGCAGGCCUAACACAUGCAAGUCGAGCGGAUGAAGGGAGCUUGCUCCUGGAUUCAGCGGCGGACGGGUGAGUAAUGCCUAGGAAUCUGCCUGGUAGUGGGGGAUAACGUCCGGAAACGGGCGCUAAUACCGCAUACGUCCUGAGGGAGAAAGUGGGGGAUCUUAGGACCUCACGCUAUCAGAUGAGCCUAGGUCGGAUUAGCUAGUUGGUGGGGUAAAGGCGUACCAAGGCGACGAUCCGUAACUGGUCUGAGAGGAUGAUCAGUCACACUGGAACUGAGACACGGUCCAGACUCCUACGGGAGGCAGCAGUGGGGAAUAUUGGACAAAGGGCGAAAGCCUGAUCCAGCCAUGCCGCGUGUGUGAAGAAGGUCUUCGGAUUGUAAAGCACUUUAAGUUGGGAGGAAGGGCAGUAAGUUAAUACCUUGCUGUUUUGACGUUACCAACAGAAUAAGCACCGGCUAACUUCGUG